CUCAGCUGGGUGACCCCGGACUGGUGACAACCUCUUGGAGCCCGCGUUCCCACGUGCGCGGUGCCGGGAGAAAAUAAGCCCCCCUCUCAGAGGGCUGUGCACGAACCAGUGUUGCCCCUCCUGGACCCUUCCCAGAGCCUUGUUCCCGGGUCACCAACGCGCCGCCACUCGGUUGCGCCAAAGCACUUAAGCCUCAGCCGACAUUUCUUUUCCCAGUUCCAGCCCCGGGCAAAUGCCUUCUAGACUUUUAGGCCUAGCCCUUGUGCCCGCUUUGGGCACCUCCAGCCCUGGUCCCCUCACAGACAGAGCCGAGCGCAGGGGAAGCUCCAGGCACCCCCGGGUCCAGGGCUGCGAGGUUACCUCGGGGCGGGGAUGACCCUUCUCUGGGCCUCAGUUUCCCGAGAGAAGAAUCGUACGUAGGAGUUUUAAAGCUGCGAGUUGCCUCCUCGCGAUCUACGGGGGACCUGCGCCCUCUCCUGGCAGCGAGAUGCACUGCCGCCCGAAGCCAUGCCUACCUCGGCCAUCCCUUUGAGUCUGGCUCAGGCCACGCUGGGACGCCCCCCCCUCCAAAACGCACCCCAAAGGCCUCCGCACCCCCAGUGGGAGACGGCCAUAACCAGACGGGGUCAGCCCGCGAUAGUGGUGAGAGCAGGCCCAAAGGGUGGGGCAGAGGCUGUCCCCUCAGUGAUCAGUCUGGGGUCUGCUUAGAGGAGGAGGCUCUGGGGCUGAAAGAAGGGGUUGGAACCUUCUGUCACCGCCAAGUGGAGCCAAGAGAGGACAGGAGACCAUAAGCCAGGAAGAGGUGGAGGAUGAGGUGACUCUGGCAGGACAGGAAGGCUCAUAGUGAGCAAGUGGCAGCUGCUGCUCCAUUUUAUUGGUGGGACAUUCACCCACCGACCCAGAGAUGGGCAGGGUCAGACAGCAGAUGAGGAAAGCUUCACCUCUCCAGUGAGUGAAGAAGCCACCUAGACCCCACCAGCCCAGACCGGCCCAGGGAGCCAUCCCACCUGGCCCACCUUGCUCACCUUGGCCAGCUCUGCGAGUGUGUUGGCCUGGUCGUUCAGCUUUCCCUGCUCAAUCUUCACACUCCGGAGCCUGGGGACAGUUAAACUGGCCAGGAAAAUGGUUCCAGGUAAGACUCUCUUCUUCACUGGUUCAAACUCAGCCCGUGUGCCCACAUGCGAUGGAUGCAUGGGGAGGCCCCUCGGGGCCCACCAUGCUGAAUACUGCCGGGGCCCCCAAGACCCAGCCCUCAGUCUGGAGAAACGGAGGUAGAGUCUGUACACAGACACGCACAGAUGGAGGACAAUAUGAAGACGCAGGAAGAACAGCACAUGAAAAUGACCACUGGAGCGAUGCAUCUGUCAGCUAAGAGCGCCGGAUGCUGCCAGAAGCCAGGAGAGAGCCCUGGAACAGAUCCUCCCUGGCACCUUCAGAGGGAACACGGCCCUGCUGACACCUGGAUUUUGGUCUUCUGGCCUCCAGGACAGUGAUCAUAAAUUCUGCCGCUUCAAACCACCCACUUAUUACAGCCAAGGAGACACGCACACUCCCCACUCCAUCUUCUCCGAGACCACCUCUUCCUUUCCUCUGGCUUUGCACACAGCGCUCCCUUCGGGGGCCUCUCCAGCUCAAGGACGUGCCCCGGCUGCCUCCUGUGUGCAGAGCAGACCUCGUUUCCCUGGCGUGUGCUUGAGCCCACCGCCUUGCCUUCCUCAAGCUGUGGGCACUCCUUGGUAUGCAGCCUGCCUCUCAGUUUCCGACUCAGAUCUUAUCCACCCUCAGGCCCUAGUGCACACUUGCUUGACUUCAUCAUCUGUUCUUACAGGGCUACUGUUUUUGGUGGGGGGUGGGGGUGCAGGGGGAUCUAAAGGUGAGUGCAACAGUCCUGCCCCAGAACAGAUGGUCACAGAUCAUUCACAGAGCAGGUGCCUUCUCCCCAGACCUGGCUCUCCUCAGUUCUCAUACCCCUGCUUUCCCCAAAGAACUUUCUGGAACAUCCCAUAGGGCAAGAUCCAGUGUCUAGUGUCCCCUACACCGGCUGGUGCAGGAAAUGCUUGUGGAAUGACAAAACGACCAGAUCGAGGGCGGAAGUAACCACAACUCCAGUUCCUAUAUUUAGAAAACACUGUGUGGCAGUCAGGCCCAGGUGAGUCAUCGGUCAUCCGGACUGUGUUCGAUCUGCAUCACACUCCUGGGAGAGAGGCACAUCACCAUCAUCUCCGCUUUACACAUAAGAUACUUGGAGUAGUGUAGUCACCGGUCCAGGCCCCACUGUUCGGUGGGAGAGACCGAUUGGGAACCAGUGGUCAGCUAACAACUAUGGGAGAGUCAGCAAGGAGAGGUCCCUGUCCUCAAGGGUCUCAAAGUCUUGUGAGGAGGCAGGACUAACACCUGGGCACAGUGAAGUCAAUGGGAUACCAGCUCCUCUCCCGGGUGGUUCAGAUGGUGGUGGAAGCAGAGGCAGAGAGCAGGGGCUGGGGGUGAGGUGGACGCUCUGUGCUACCAAGAGGUUGCUCUGUGCUGGGGACCCUGCCAGGCAUUUCUGCGAAUCAUCUCAUUAGACCUCCCGAAGUCCUGGGGAGUGGGGAUUAUCAUCACUAGGAAGCAACCCAAUUAUAACAGCAAACACA
Molecule: long non-coding RNA, 2633 nt
Organism: Myotis brandtii (Brandt's bat)
Lineage: Eukaryota; Metazoa; Chordata; Mammalia; Chiroptera; Vespertilionidae
Exons: 4
Source: RefSeq, a predicted model, not a curated record